UAGGGAAUCUUGCACAAUGGGCGAAAGCCUGAUGCAGCAACGCCGCGUGAGUGAUGAAGGUCUUCGGAUUGUAAAGCUCUGUCUUUUGGGACGAUAAUGACGGUACCAAAGGAGGAAGCCACGGCUAACUACGUGCCAGCAGCCGCGGUAAUACGUAGGUGGCGAGCGUUGUCCGGAUUUACUGGGCGUAAAGGGUGCGUAGGCGGAUGUUUAAGUGAGAUGUGAAAUACCCGGGCUUAACUUGGGUGCUGCAUUUCAAACUGGAUAUCUAGAGUGCAGGAGAGGAGAAUGGAAUUCCUAGUGUAGCGGUGAAAUGCGUAGAGAUUAGGAAGAACACCAGUGGCGAAGGCGAUUCUCUGGACUGUAACUGACGCUGAGGCACGAAAGCGUGGGUAGCAAACAGGAUUAGAUACCCUGGUAGUCCACGCCGUAAAACGAUGAGUACUAGGUGUAGGAGGUAUCGACCCCUUCUGUGCCGCAGUAAACACAUUAAGUACUCCGCCU
Molecule: ribosomal RNA, 504 nt
Filed under: uncultured bacterium
Lineage: Bacteria
Description: partial 16S ribosomal RNA
Rfam family: Bacterial small subunit ribosomal RNA
Source: RNAcentral